AACGAACGCUGGCGGCAGGCCUAAAACAUGCAAGUCGAACGAUGUAGCAAUACAUAGUGGCGCACGGGUGCGUAACGCGUGGGAAUAUGCCCUUCACUACGGAACAACGUCUGGAAACGGACGCUAAUACCGUAUAAUGACUCCGGUCCAAAGAUUUAUCGGUGAAGGAUUAGCCCGCGUCUGAUUAGGUAGUUGGUGAGGUAAUGGCUCACCAAGCCGACGAUCAGUAGCUGGUCUGAGAGGAUGAUCAGCCACACUGGGACUGAGACACGGCCCAGACUACUACGAGAGGCAGCAGUUAGGAAUAUUGGACAAUGGGGGAAACCCUGAUCCAACCAGGCCGCGUGUGUGAAGAAGGCCGUAGGGUUGUAAAACACUUUCGGCUGUGAAGAUAAUGACAGUAGCAGAAGAAGAAGCUCCGGCUAAAUUCGUGCCAGCAGCCGCGGUAA
Molecule: ribosomal RNA, 449 nt
Filed under: uncultured bacterium
Lineage: Bacteria
Description: partial 16S ribosomal RNA
Rfam family: Bacterial small subunit ribosomal RNA
Source: RNAcentral